AUUGAACGCUGGCGGCAGGCUUAACACAUGCAAGUCGAGCGGGGUGAUGGUGCUUGCACUAUCACUUAGCGGCGGACGGGUGAGUAAUGCUUAGGAAUCUGACUAUUAGUGGGGGACAACAUCUCGAAAGGGAUGCUAAUACCGCAUACGUCCUCCGGGAGAAAGCAGGGGAUCACUUGUGACCUUGCGCUAAUAGAUGAGCCUAAUUCGGAUUAGCUAGUUGGUGGGGUAAAGGCCUACCAAGGCGACGAUCUGUAGCGGGUCUGAGAGGAUGAGCCGCCACACUGGGACUGAGACACGGCCCAGGCUCCGCCGGACGGCAGCAGUGGGGAAUAUUGGACGAUGGGGGGAACCCUGAGCCAUCCAUGCCGCGUGUGUGAAGAAGGCCUUAUGGUUGUAAAGCACUUUAAGCGAGGAGGAGGCUCUUUUGGUUAAUACCCAAGAUGAGUGGACGUUACUCGCAGAAUAAGCACCGGCUAACUCUGUGCCAGCCGCCGCCGUAA
This 503-nucleotide ribosomal RNA is filed under the name uncultured bacterium. RNAcentral's name for it is "partial 16S ribosomal RNA". It matches the Rfam family "Bacterial small subunit ribosomal RNA", at positions 30 to 523 of the family's 1533-position model. The record is from RNAcentral.